CCCUUAGAUGUCCUGGGCUGCACGCGCGCUACACUGAUGUGUCCAGUAAGCACCUGACCUCUUCCGAAAGGAACGGGUAACCUUUGCAAAGCACAUCGUGAUGGGGAUAGAUUAUUGCAAUUAUUAGUCUUGAACGAGGAAUUCCUAGUAAGCACAAGUCAUCAGCUUGUGUUGAUUACGUCCCUGCCCUUUGUACACACCGCCCGUCGCUCCUACCGAUUGAAUGUUCCGGUGAGCUCUUCGGACUGCGCGGUCUGCAGUUUCUGCGUUCCGUGCGGAAAGUUGCGCAAACCUUAACAUUUAGAGGAAGGAGAAGUCGUAACA
RNAcentral lists this ribosomal RNA (324 nucleotides) under uncultured eukaryote. RNAcentral's name for it is "partial 18S ribosomal RNA". It matches the Rfam family "Eukaryotic small subunit ribosomal RNA", at positions 1470 to 1796 of the family's 1831-position model. The record is from RNAcentral.